GCAGUCUGGGCGCAAGCCUGAUGCAGCCAUGCCGCGUGUAUGAAGAAGGCCUUCGGGUUGUAAAGUACUUUCAGCGGGGGGGAAGGGAGUAAAGUUAAUACCUUUGCUCAUUGACGUUACCCGCAGAAGAAGCACCGGCUAACUCCGUGCCAGCAGCCGCGGUAAUACGGAGGGUGCAAGCGUUAAUCGGAAUUACUGGGCGUAAAGCGCACGCAGGCGGUUUGUUAAGUCAGAUGUGAAAUCCCCGGGCUCAACCUGGGAACUGCAUCUGAUACUGGCAAGCUUGAGUCUCGUAGAGGGGGGUAGAAUUCCAGGUGUAGCGGUGAAAUGCGUAUUUAUCUGGAGGAAUACCGGUGGCGAAGGCGGCCCCCUGGACGAAGACUGACGCUCAGGUGCGAAAGCUUUACUAGGCGUA
This 415-nucleotide ribosomal RNA is filed under the name uncultured Escherichia sp. Its description in RNAcentral is "bacterial SSU rRNA". It matches the Rfam family "Bacterial small subunit ribosomal RNA", at positions 366 to 772 of the family's 1533-position model. The record is from RNAcentral. Lineage: Bacteria; Pseudomonadati; Pseudomonadota; Gammaproteobacteria; Enterobacterales; Enterobacteriaceae.